UACGUAGGGUGCAAGCGUUGUCCGGAAUUAUUGGGCGUAAAGAGCUCGUAGGCGGUUUGUCGCGUCUGCUGUGAAAACUCAGGGCUUAACCCUGAGCCUGCAGUGGGUACGGGCAGACUAGAGUGUGGUAGGGGAGAUCGGAAUUCCUGGUGUAGCGGUGGAAUGCGCAGAUAUCAGGAGGAACACCGGUGGCGAAGGCGACUUCCUGGCCUGUUCUUGACGCUGAGGCGCGAAAGCUAGGGGAGCAAACAGG
Molecule: ribosomal RNA, 253 nt
Filed under: uncultured bacterium
Lineage: Bacteria
Description: partial 16S ribosomal RNA
Rfam family: Bacterial small subunit ribosomal RNA
Source: RNAcentral